This 200-nucleotide ribosomal RNA is filed under the name uncultured bacterium. Its description in RNAcentral is "partial 16S ribosomal RNA". It matches the Rfam family "Bacterial small subunit ribosomal RNA", at positions 28 to 231 of the family's 1533-position model. The record is from RNAcentral.
GAUGAACGCUAGCGGCAGGCUUAACACAUGCAAGUCGAGGGGUAUGGUUCUUCGGAACCAGAGACCGGCGCACGGGUGCGUAACGCGUAUGCAAUCUACCUUUUACAGAGGGAUAGCCCAGAGAAAUUUGGAUUAAUACCUCAUAGUAUAACAUGACCGCAUGGUCGAGUUAUUAAAGUCACGACGGUAAAAGAUGAGCA